CUGUCGUCAGCUCGUGUUGUGAAAUGUUGGGUUAAGUCCCGCAACGAGCGCAACCCUUAUCCUUUGUUGCCAGCGAUUCGGUCGGGAACUCAAAGGAGACUGCCGGUGAUAAACCGGAGGAAGGUGGGGAUGACGUCAAGUCAUCAUGGCCCUUACGAGUAGGGCUACACACGUGCUACAAUGGCGCAUACAAAGAGAAGCGACCUCGCGAGAGCAAGCGGACCUCACAAAGUGCGUCGUAGUCCGGAUCGGAGUCUGCAACUCGACUCCGUGAAGUCGGAAUCGCUAGUAAUCGUGGAUCAGAAUGCCACGGUGACUACGUUCCCCGGCG
This 331-nucleotide ribosomal RNA is filed under the name Pantoea sp. Its description in RNAcentral is "bacterial SSU rRNA". It matches the Rfam family "Bacterial small subunit ribosomal RNA", at positions 1049 to 1379 of the family's 1533-position model. The record is from RNAcentral. Lineage: Bacteria; Pseudomonadati; Pseudomonadota; Gammaproteobacteria; Enterobacterales; Erwiniaceae.